RNAcentral lists this long non-coding RNA (507 nucleotides) under Triticum aestivum (bread wheat). RNAcentral describes it as "long non-coding RNA (TAES_LNC024072)". The record is from RNAcentral. Lineage: Eukaryota; Viridiplantae; Streptophyta; Magnoliopsida; Poales; Poaceae.
AAAUCCAGUUACUGUCAAUUGUACUCUAUGUAACACUGUAUUUGAUCAUGUAACUCCACUUACUGUCAAUUGUACUCUAUGCAGUUCAGCACAAACAUUUCAGCACUGCAACAUUUGUAUGCAAGAAUAAAUUGAUGUUUCUAGGACACCACCUGAAUAAAUUGAAACAAGAUAGCAUUCAUUAGGUUUUGAAACGAAAAAGACUUCUACUGUCUGUGGGAGUAUAAUGCAACAAGCAGAUGUUUCUAGAAUAAAUUGAAACAAGAUAGCAUUCAUUAGGUUCUGAAUAAAUUGAAGUAUCAUAUUUUCAGCAAGCAAGUUGGGCAUCACAGAAUCCUGAUAUGUGCUAGUUUUUUUUUUCAAAGGACUGGUCUGUAAAACAGUAGUAGUUGUAAUUAUCUUGACCAGAAUGUUCUUUCUUAUUGGAUCAUGAACAGUUACCUGAGCAAGUGGUGCACCGCCGCAAUGAUGUUUGGGAUUGAUCUCAACAUGAGUCCUCAACAAGAU